RNAcentral lists this ribosomal RNA (459 nucleotides) under uncultured bacterium. RNAcentral describes it as "partial 16S ribosomal RNA". It matches the Rfam family "Bacterial small subunit ribosomal RNA", at positions 338 to 795 of the family's 1533-position model. The record is from RNAcentral.
CCUACGGGAGGCAGCAGUGAGGAAUAUUGGUCAAUGGUCGGGAGACUGAACCAGCCAAGCCGCGUGAGGGAUGAAGGUACAGAGUAUCGUAAACCUCUUUUGUCAGGGAACAAAGGCGGGGACGCGUCCCCGGAUGAGUGUACCUGAAGAAAAAGCAUCGGCUAACUCCGUGCCAGCAGCCGCGGUAAUACGGAGGAUGCGCCCGUUAUCCGGAUUUAUUGGGUUUAAGGGGUGGGCAGGCGGUCUGUUAAGUCAGCGGUAAAAGCCCGGGGCUCAACCCCGGCCCGCAGUUGAAACUGGCAGUCUCGAGUUGGAGAGAGGUAUGCGGAAUGCGCGGUGUAGCGGUGAAAUGCAUAGAUAUCGCGCAGAACUCCGAUUGCGAAGGCAGCAUGCCGGCUCCACACUGACGCUGAGGCACGAAAGCGUGGGUAUCGAACAGGAUUAGAUACCCGAGUAGUC